GCCGAGGUGGCGGAAUGGCUUACGCGGCGGUCUCAAAAACCGUUGAGGGCAACCUCGUGUGGGUUCGACUCCCACCCUCGGCACCA
RNAcentral lists this transfer RNA (86 nucleotides) under Candidatus Omnitrophota bacterium. Its description in RNAcentral is "Candidatus Omnitrophica bacterium tRNA-Leu". It matches the Rfam family "tRNA". From Rfam's summary of the family: Transfer RNA (tRNA) molecules are approximately 80 nucleotides in length. Their secondary structure includes four short double-helical elements and three loops (D, anti-codon, and T loops). Lineage: Bacteria; Pseudomonadati; Candidatus Omnitrophota. The record is from RNAcentral.